Molecule: ribosomal RNA, 497 nt
Filed under: uncultured bacterium
Lineage: Bacteria
Description: partial 16S ribosomal RNA
Rfam family: Bacterial small subunit ribosomal RNA
Source: RNAcentral
GAUGAACGCUGGCGGCGUGCCUAAUACAUGCAAGUCGAGCGAACAGACGAGGAGCUUGCUCCUCUGACGUUAGCGGCGGACGGGUGAGUAACACGUGGAUAACCUACCUAUAUGACUGGGAUAACUUCGGGAAACCGGAGCUAAUACCGGAUAAUAUAUUGAACCGCAUGGUUCAAUAGUGAAAGACGGUUUUGCUGUCACUUAUAGAUGGAUCCGCGCCGCAUUAGCUAGUUGGUAAGGUAACGGCUUACCAAGGCAACGAUGCGUAGCCGACCUGAGAGGGUGAUCGGCCACACUGGAACUGAGACACGGUCCAGACUCCUACGGGAGGCAGCAGUAGGGAAUCUUCCGCAAUGGGCGAAAGUCUGACGGAGCAACGCCGCGUGAGUGAUGAAGGUCUUCGGAUCGUAAAACUCUGUUAUUAGGGAAGAACAAAUGUGUAAGUAACUAUGCACGUCUUGACGGUACCUAAUCAGAAAGCCACGGCUAACUACGUG